This 171-nucleotide ribosomal RNA is filed under the name Polyschismium chailletii. Its description in RNAcentral is "Lepidoderma chailletii partial small subunit ribosomal RNA". It matches the Rfam family "Eukaryotic small subunit ribosomal RNA", at positions 1502 to 1664 of the family's 1831-position model. Lineage: Eukaryota; Evosea; Eumycetozoa; Physariida; Didymiaceae. The record is from RNAcentral.
AUGGCAUGCUUUAGAAGUGCUCAAAAGGGCGUCUCCGCGGCCUACAGGCUGCGGUAACCCCUAGUCCCUGCCUUGACUGGGACAGACUAUUGCAAUUAUUGGUCUCAAACGAGGAAUUUUUAGUAGUCGCAGGUCAUUAACCUGCGACGAAUGCGUCCCUGCCCUUUGUAA